RNAcentral lists this ribosomal RNA (174 nucleotides) under uncultured bacterium. Its description in RNAcentral is "partial 16S ribosomal RNA". It matches the Rfam family "Bacterial small subunit ribosomal RNA", at positions 338 to 524 of the family's 1533-position model. The record is from RNAcentral.
CCUACGGGAGGCAGCAGUGGGGAAUAUUUGACAAUGGGCGGAAGCCUGAUCCAGCAACGCCGCGUGAGGGAUGACGGCCUUCGGGUUGUAAACCUCUUUCAGCGCCGACGAAGCGAGAGUGACGGUAGGCGCAGAAGAAGCACCGGCCAACUACGUGCCAGCAGCCGCGGUAAU